CGGGCGCCCGCGCCGAAUCCGUCCUGCCCUCGCGGGAGUUCGGAACCGGGGACCCACACGCAGCACCGGGGUGAAUCGGUCCUUGUCCCCCCACUCGGACCGUAGGGCAGCCUUCCGUUCCGCCCGAACCCGACAGCUAACCCGGUAGGCGGUCCACGGAAGGAGAU
This 167-nucleotide small RNA is filed under the name Streptomyces sp. Its description in RNAcentral is "c-di-AMP sequence". It matches the Rfam family "c-di-AMP riboswitch aptamer (ydaO/yuaA leader)". From Rfam's summary of the family: This family represents a conserved RNA structure found upstream of the ydaO and yuaA genes in Bacillus subtilis and related genes in other bacteria. The record is from RNAcentral. Lineage: Bacteria; Bacillati; Actinomycetota; Actinomycetes; Kitasatosporales; Streptomycetaceae. RNAcentral also lists the same sequence under 1 other name.